GUAAUAGCUCACUGGUCGAGUCGGCCUGCGCGGAAGAUGUAACGGGGCUAAACUAUGCACCGAAGCUGCGGCAGCGAUAUGUAAAUAUUGUUGGGUAGGGGAGCGUUCUGUAAGCCUGUGAAGGUGUACUGUGAGGUAUGCUGGAGGUAUCAGAAGUGCGAAUGCUGACAUAAGUAACGAUAAUGCGGGUGAAAAACCCGCACGCCGGAAGACCAAGGGUUCCUGUCCAACGUUAAUCGGGGCAGGGUGAGUCGACCCCUAAGG
RNAcentral lists this ribosomal RNA (264 nucleotides) under Providencia rettgeri. RNAcentral describes it as "partial 23S ribosomal RNA". It matches the Rfam family "Bacterial large subunit ribosomal RNA", at positions 1134 to 1396 of the family's 2925-position model. Lineage: Bacteria; Pseudomonadati; Pseudomonadota; Gammaproteobacteria; Enterobacterales; Morganellaceae. The record is from RNAcentral.